This 442-nucleotide ribosomal RNA is filed under the name uncultured bacterium. Its description in RNAcentral is "bacterial SSU rRNA". It matches the Rfam family "Bacterial small subunit ribosomal RNA", at positions 9 to 434 of the family's 1533-position model. The record is from RNAcentral.
GAGUUUGAUCAUGGCUCAGGACGAACGCUGGCGGCGUGCCUAACACAUGCAAGUCGAACGGAGAACUCAAAAAGCUUGCUUUGAGAGUUUUUAGUGGCGGACGGGUGAGUAACGCGUGGAUAACCUACCCAAGAGACCGGGACAACCCUUGGAAACGAGGGCUAAUACCGGAUAGCCUUAGGCUUUGGCAUCAAAGCAUAAGGGAAGGUGGCCUCUGAAAAUGCUACCGCUGAUGGAUGGAUCCGCGUCUGAUUAGCUAGUUGGUGGGUAAAGGCCUACCAAGGCGACGAUCAGUAGCCGGCCUGAGAGGGUGAACGGCCACACUGGGACUGAGACACGGCCCAGACUCCUACGGGAGGCAGCAGUGGGGAAUCUUCCGCAAUGGACGAAAGUCUGACGGAGCAACGCCGCGUGUACGAUGAAGGCCUCGGUUGUAAGUACU